GCGGGGAUGGCCCAGCCAGGCAAGGCGAUGGAUUGCUAAUCCAUUGUCCGAAAAGGACUCGGGGGUUCAAAUCCCCCUCCCCGCG
Molecule: transfer RNA, 85 nt
Filed under: Methanomassiliicoccales archaeon
Lineage: Archaea; Methanobacteriati; Thermoplasmatota; Thermoplasmata; Methanomassiliicoccales
Description: tRNA-Ser
Rfam family: tRNA
About the family: Transfer RNA (tRNA) molecules are approximately 80 nucleotides in length.
Source: RNAcentral